RNAcentral lists this long non-coding RNA (608 nucleotides) under Vulpes vulpes (red fox). RNAcentral describes it as "lncRNA (ENSVVUG00000025583.1)". Lineage: Eukaryota; Metazoa; Chordata; Mammalia; Carnivora; Canidae. The record is from RNAcentral.
UAAAAACAUAUGAAACAAUAGGAGAUAUAUCAAGUACUCCAUAAAUAUCUCUUCAAUGAAGGAAAAGUUAGUAAACCUCUUUUUAAAAGUAUUGUGAAGAUUAACUGUGAUAGAUUUGGAAACACUUUAUAAAUUCUUUUAAACUGCUAAUUGAUAUCACUUUUAGGCUAAUUGUGAUCCAGGUUAUGUUUACUACUCUUAGAGGUUAUGAAAAUAGGAAUAGUAUUUGAUCUUGAAAAAUAUAUGUAUUUCUAAAAAAUUCUUAUUUACUGUAUCCCCUCCUAGAUAUCUUCCACAGGUUUUAACAUAUCAGUUUGAAUAAGGCACAGAAUUAAAACAAUGUACUCCUUCAUGGGUGUUUCCAAAGAUGAAAUCCUUGGAGAAGAAUACCCUUCCUUCUGUGGUGAAAUAGCAUCGGCUUGGAAGACAGGCAAACUUGAAAGCAAAUUCCAGUUUUUCCAAUUAAAUAUAUAAGCAUAGACAUUUAUUACACUUUAUUAGCAUUAAGUUGCCCUUUCAAAAUUGAAAAUGAUAAUGUCUAUCCUGUGGGGAGGAUCAGAAAUUCCAUAGGUACAGAACAAGAGUCAAUAAAAAAUUCAUAGCUUUCA